This 484-nucleotide ribosomal RNA is filed under the name uncultured bacterium. Its description in RNAcentral is "partial 16S ribosomal RNA". It matches the Rfam family "Bacterial small subunit ribosomal RNA", at positions 28 to 523 of the family's 1533-position model. The record is from RNAcentral.
GAUGAACGCUGGCGGCGUGCCUAAUACAUGCAAGUCGAACGAUGAAGCUGGAGCUUGCUCCGGUGGAUUAGUGGCGAACGGGUGAGUAACACGUGAGCAAUCUGCCCUUGACUCUGGGAUAACUGCGGGAAACUGUAGCUAAUACCGGAUACUUUCACUGGAAGGCAUCUUCUGGUGAAGAAAGAAUUUCGGUCAAGGAUUAGCUCGCGGCCUAUCAGCUUGUUGGUGAGGUAACGGCUCACCAAGGCGACGACGGGUAGCCGGCCUGAGAGGGUGACCGGCCACACUGGGACUGAGACACGGCCCAGACGCCUACGGGAGGCAGCAGUGGGGAAUAUUGCACAAUGGGCGCAAGCCUGAUGCAGCAACGCCGCGUGAGGGAUGAAGGCCUUCGGGUUGUAAACCUCUUUUAGCAGGGAAGAAGCGAAAGUGACGGUACCUGCAGAAAAAGCACCGGCUAACUACGUGCCAGCAGCCGCCGUAA